Molecule: small nuclear RNA, 107 nt
Filed under: Phascolarctos cinereus (koala)
Lineage: Eukaryota; Metazoa; Chordata; Mammalia; Diprotodontia; Phascolarctidae
Source: RNAcentral
CCAUUUGCCUUAGCAGUGCAUAUAUUAAAAUUGGAAUGAUAUGAAGAAGAUUAAUAUGACCCCUGUACAAGGAUUACAAGCAAAUUUACGAUGCAUUUCCUAUUUUG